RNAcentral lists this ribosomal RNA (328 nucleotides) under uncultured eukaryote. RNAcentral describes it as "partial 18S ribosomal RNA". It matches the Rfam family "Eukaryotic small subunit ribosomal RNA", at positions 1470 to 1796 of the family's 1831-position model. The record is from RNAcentral.
CCCUUAGAUGUUCUGGGCCGCACGCGCGCUACACUGAUGAAUUCAACGAGCACUAACCUGUGCCGAAAGGUUCGGGUAAUCUUGUGAAAUUUCAUCGUGAUGGGGAUUGAUUAUUGCAAUUUUUAAUCAUAAACGAGGAAUGCCUAGUAAGCGUGAGUCAUCAGCUCACGUUGAUUACGUCCCUGCCCUUUGUACACACCGCCCGUCGCUCCUACCGAUUGAAUGGUCCGGUGAAAUCUUCGGAUUGAGACUUUGAUUUCUUCACGGAAAACGCUGUUUUAAAAAGUUGAUUAAACCUUACCAUUUAGAGGAAGGUGAAGUCGUAACA